GCUGGAAUUGUAUGAUUGUGAAGACAUCGCGAACCUUAAAGGUUGAGAAGUGAACGGAUUAUACGGCGAACUGAGACGACGUGAAAAAGGGGAUUGGAAGCGGCAUUGAUGUGAGUACUAAGAGCCAGUCGAAAGUGCCCUGUAUAUUGACCUGGCGUUGUGUAGAUCUCUCCAGGAGGAGGAGGGCGGCCCUACCCCUAAUAUAGCGUGGUGGGAGAGCCGAAGGAAUACUUAUUGAAGUAGUCACAACGACGACAUCACUAGCUAGGCCGCAUAUUCCAUCGCCAGAUCCGAACCAAGCGAAGUGAAGGAAGACGGGUGUCCUUUUCGUACACUGAGUGUGGUGGGUGAGUCUUCAUGCUGUGAAAACCUAUAAUUUUGACGUGGUGCUGUAUAUUGCUGUGGGCUGCUGUGUAUUGCCGUGUGUCCUGUCAGAUAAACCCCCGCCUUCACGCACUUCGUCGCGGGAGGACAAGGAGACUGCUGGUCCUAGCCUAGUUCAGUACAGUAUAUGUUGUGAGCGUGCUUCAGAUCUCCGGAGAUAGCACAGUACGCUGUGUCCAGCCCAGAGGUGAAAGCCAUCCAAAGCAGAGUAACUGUGCUUUGCGUCCAAGUUGAUACCUGUGGAGAGGAAAGGAAAGAGAGUGAAUAACACGAGGAGGAAUAGAGCGAACCCUGUACUUACAGUACGCUGUGUCCAGCCCAGAGGUGAAAGCCAUCCAAAGCAGAGUAACUGUGCUUUGCGUCCAAGUUGAUACCUGUGGAGAGGAAAGGAAAGAGAGUGAAUAACACGAGGAGGAAUAGAGCGAACCCUGUACUUACAGUACGCUGUGUCCAGCCCAGAGGUGAGAGCCAUUCAAAGCAAACUAACUGUGCUAUUGUGCCCAAGUUGAUACCUGUGGAGAGAAAAGGAGAGAGAGUGGGUAACACGAGGAGAGACCGAGGAAACCUGUACUUACGCCGCUGCCUGUGGAGAAAGAGAAAGCGACCGUUGCCUGUGGAGGAAGAGAAAGAGAGUGAGCACCCCGAGAACGAACUGUGUGAACCAGUACUUACCGUGAGCUGUAUUCAGCGAAGAGGAGGAAGAAGGAGGGCGCUACGGAUACCUAAGACUCAGGCCGGGGCCCGAGUCCCACGCCCCGGAUCCCCGUGGCCCCCUUGCUCCCUGACCUCUUCCCGGCCAUAGCCCAUCUGGAGGGCCGAGUCAGAGUUUAGUUUUAAUUGCCCUUUCCCUAUUCCCCAAGCUAUUUUUAAAUAUUUAAAUAAAGAUUGUUUUAUCACUUACUUGUUCUCGUGU
Cyprinus carpio (common carp) is the source of this 1297-nucleotide long non-coding RNA. The record is from Ensembl. NCBI's taxonomy places the organism in Eukaryota, Metazoa, Chordata, Actinopteri, Cypriniformes, Cyprinidae.